CCUGAGGAUUGGGAAGGAACUAUACAUACCAGGAGGCAAGGAGCACUGGGGGCCCUCCUGGAACUGCCUGUCACAGCGUCCUCAAAGGUGGCAAAGAGAAAGGAGGAGUAAGGAGGAGGAAGAACAAUUUUUAAGAAAGGAAGCAAACAGAGGGACCAAGCACAUAAUUAAGAAAGAAAAAAAAGAUUUUAGUCCACUGAAAAUAAAAUUUCCAAAAACAGAAUUCAAGGAGAAAGAAC
This 239-nucleotide long non-coding RNA is filed under the name Homo sapiens (human). RNAcentral describes it as "HSALNT0107710". Lineage: Eukaryota; Metazoa; Chordata; Mammalia; Primates; Hominidae. The record is from RNAcentral.